This 245-nucleotide ribosomal RNA is filed under the name uncultured Lachnospiraceae bacterium. RNAcentral's name for it is "partial 16S ribosomal RNA". It matches the Rfam family "Bacterial small subunit ribosomal RNA", at positions 524 to 768 of the family's 1533-position model. The record is from RNAcentral. Lineage: Bacteria; Bacillati; Bacillota; Clostridia; Lachnospirales; Lachnospiraceae.
UACGUAGGGGGCAAGCGUUAUCCGGAUUUACUGGGUGUAAAGGGAGCGUAGACGGAAUGGUAAGUUUGAAGUGAAAUACCUGGGCUCAACCCAGGAACUGCUUUGAAAACUACCAAUCUAGAGUACUGGAGAGGUAAGGGGAAUUCCUAGUGUAGUGGUAAAAUGCGUAGAUAUUAGGAGGAACACCGGAGGCGAAGGCGCCUUACUGGACAGAUACUGACGUUGAGGCUCGAAAGCGUGGGGAG